AGAGUUUGAUCCUGGCUCAGGAUGAACGCUAGCGGCAGGCUUAACACAUGCAAGUCGAGGGGCAGCGGGGAGGAAGCUUGCUUUCUCCGCCGGCGACCGGCGCACGGGUGAGUAACACGUAUGCAACCUGCCCCUGUCAGGGGGACAACCCGCCGAAAGGCGGGCUAAACCCGCGUACAUGCCACCGGGGCAUCCCGGAGGCAGGAAAGGCUUCGGCCGGACAGGGAUGGGCAUGCGGCGCAUUAGGCAGUAGGCGGGGUAACGGCCCACCUAACCGACGAUGCGUAGGGGUUCUGAGAGGAAGGUCCCCCACACUGGUACUGAGACACGGACCAGACUCCUACGGGAGGCAGCAGUGAGGAAUAUUGGUCAAUGGUCGGGAGACUGAACCAGCCAAGCCGCGUGAGGGAGGAAGGUACAGAGUAUCGUAAACCUCUUUUGUCAGGGAACAAAGGCGGGGACGUGUCCCCGGAUGAGUGUACCUGAGGAAAAAGCAUCGGCUAACUCCGUGCCAGCAGCCGCGGUAAUACGGAGGAUGCGAGCGUUAUCCGGAUUUAUUGGGUUUAAAGGGUGCGCAGGCGGUCUGUUAAGUCAGCGGUCAAAGCCCGGGGCUCAACCCCGGCCCGCCGUUGAAACUGGCAGUCUCGAGUUGGAGAGAAGUAUGCGGAAUGCGCGGUGUAGCGGUGAAAUGCAUAGAUAUCGCGCAGAACUCCGAUUGCGAAGGCAGCAUGCCGGCUCCACACUGACGCUGAGGCACGAAAGCGUGGGUAUCGAACAGGAUUAGAUACCCUGGUAGUCCACGCAGUAAACGAUGAAUGCUGGCUGUCCGGGGGGAUUGACCCCUGGGUGGCGAAGCGAAAGCGAUGAGCAUUCCACCUGGGGAGUACGCCGGCAACGGCGAAACUCAAAGGAAUUGACGGGGGCCCGCACAAGCGGAGGAACAUGUGGUUUAAUUCGAUGAUACGCGAGGAACCUUACCCGGGCUCAAACGGGGAGUGACUCAGGCAGAGACGCCUGUUUCCCACGGGACACUCCCCGAGGUGCUGCAUGGUUGUCGUCAGCUCGUGCCGUGAGGUGUCGGCUUAAGUGCCAUAACGAGCGCAACCCCCGCGUGCAGUUGCUAACAGAUAACGCUGAGGACUCUGCACGGACUGCCGGCGCAAGCCGCGAGGAAGGCGGGGAUGACGUCAAAUCAGCACGGCCCUUACGUCCGGGGCGACACACGUGUUACAAUGGGUGGUACAGCGGGAAGCCAGGCGGCGACGCCGAGCGGAACCCGAAAUCCACUCUCAGUUCGAAUCGGAGUCUGCAACCCGACUCCGUGAAGCUGGAUUCGCUAGUAAUCGCGCAUCAGCCAUGGCGCGGUGAAUACGU
RNAcentral lists this ribosomal RNA (1374 nucleotides) under uncultured bacterium. RNAcentral's name for it is "16S ribosomal RNA". It matches the Rfam family "Bacterial small subunit ribosomal RNA", at positions 8 to 1371 of the family's 1533-position model. The record is from RNAcentral.